Molecule: ribosomal RNA, 209 nt
Filed under: uncultured bacterium
Lineage: Bacteria
Description: partial 16S ribosomal RNA
Rfam family: Bacterial small subunit ribosomal RNA
Source: RNAcentral
UGCGUAGACGGUUAUGUAAGUCGGGUGUGAAAGCCCCGGGGCUCAACCCUGGGAAUGCCAUUCGAGACUGCAUAGCUAGGGUGCGGAAGAGGGAAGCGGAAUUUCAGGUGUAGCGGUGAAAUGCGUAGAUAUCUGAAGGAACACCAGUGGCGAAAGCGGCUUCCUGGUCCAGCACCGACGUUCAGGCACGAAAGCGUGGGGAGCAAACA